AAGGCUAUGUUUGGAUUGGCUUCUUGAAGCCCCAAACUCACGUUUUAUUCCUUUAAACUUAAAAGUGGUCUUAUUUUCUUGUUUGGGUUUUUUCUCCAAAAUCAAUUCUACUCUCCUAGAAGCAAUUCCAAUAGAAGCUACAAUUCCUAGCUUUUGAGGUUAGCAAGAAUCAAUUCUGCAUUUAUGAUAUUUUGGUUCUUACAAUUUUCCUUCAUUGCCCUCUUUAAUUUCUUUUCAACUGUUUCUUCUAUUUUCAAGCUACCAUACUCUCUACUUUCCAAUUUUCUGCUUUGUAUUAAUUCCUUCAUUACUCUCUUUGCUUUGUAUUAAUGAAUUUGGUAAACCAAA
This 348-nucleotide long non-coding RNA is filed under the name Lathyrus oleraceus (garden pea). Its description in RNAcentral is "Pisum sativum (pea) long non-coding RNA (PSAT_LNC015295)". Lineage: Eukaryota; Viridiplantae; Streptophyta; Magnoliopsida; Fabales; Fabaceae. The record is from RNAcentral.